CAAUAGCGUAUAUUAAAGUUGUUGCAGUUAAAAAGCUCGUAGUUGGACCUUGGACCUGGACAGGCGGUCCGCCUCACGGCGUGUACUGUCUUGCUGGGUCUUUCCUCUUGGUGAUCUGUUGUUUCGGCAGCAGGGAACCAGGACUUUUACUUUGAAAAAAUUAGAGUGUUCAAAGCAGGCUCGACGCCGGAAUAUAUUAGCAUGGAAUAAUAAAAUAGGACGUGCGGUUCUAUUUUGUUGGUUUUGGAAUCGCCGUAAUGAUUAAUAGGGACAGUCGGGGGCAUUAGUACUCACAUGCCAGAGGUGAAAUUCUUGGAUUUUGUGAAGACUAACUUCUGCGAAAGCAUUUGCCAAGGAUGUUUUCAUUAA
Molecule: ribosomal RNA, 369 nt
Filed under: uncultured eukaryote
Lineage: Eukaryota
Description: partial 18S ribosomal RNA
Rfam family: Eukaryotic small subunit ribosomal RNA
Source: RNAcentral